Long non-coding RNA from Arvicola amphibius (Eurasian water vole), 317 nucleotides. RefSeq lists it as uncharacterized. The transcript is spliced from 3 exons. NCBI's taxonomy places the organism in Eukaryota, Metazoa, Chordata, Mammalia, Rodentia, Cricetidae. The record is from RefSeq and is a predicted model, not a curated record.
CCCACUUUCUCUGCAUGGUAUGUCUAUCCGUUUGUCACCUGCUGCAGCGCCUCGUGGGACCGGCAGUCCUGCCAACUCAGCGAGGUCUCUCACCCGCCGCCUCCCACCACCUGGGACUAACAGAGGCCUGGAAUGAGCUUAUUUGGAUGUUCUUGUUUGGAUAUUUGUUGAGGAGUGAAGCUCACCAAAGAAUGUUCUUCCUUUGUGGUGGCAGAAGAGUCCUUCUUUGGAACCUGACGCUGUAGGACAACCGAUUUCUCAGUAUGGACCACAGACUACAAGAGGAGGAGGAGGAGGAGGAGGAAGAGGAGGAGGAG